GUAGUCCACGCCGUAAACGAUGAGUACUAAGGUUCGUUCAUGGGGGUUUCCGCCCCUUAGUGCUGCAGCUAACGCAUUAAGCAGCUCCGCCUGGGGAGUACGACCGUCAAGGUUAGAAACUCAAAUGGAAUUGGACGGGGACCCGCACAAGCGGUGGAGCAUGUGGUUUAAUUCGAAGCAACGCGAAGAACCUUACCAAAUCUUGACAUCCUCUGACCCCUCUAGAGAUAGAGUUUUUCCCCUUCGGGGGGACAGAGUGACAGGUGGUGCAUGGUUGUCGUCAGCUCGUGUCGUGAGAUGUUGGGUUAAGUCCCCGCAACGAGCGCAACCCUUAAGCUUAGUUGCCAUCAUUAAGUUGGGCACUCUAAGUUGACUGCCGGUGACAAACCGGAGGAAGGUGGGGGAUGACGUCAAAUCAUCAUGCCCCUUAUGAUUUGGGCUACACACGUGCUACAAUGGACAAUACAAAGGGCAGCGAAACCGCGAGGUCAAGCAAAUCCCAUAAAGUUGUUCUCAGUUCGGAUUGUAGUCUGCAACUCGACUAUAUGAAGCUGGAAUCGCUAGUAAUCGUAGAUCAGCAUGCUACGGUGAAUACGUUCCCGGGUCUUGUACACACCGCCCGUCACACCACGAGAGUUUGUAACACCCGAAGCCGGUGGAGUAACCAUUGGAGCUAGCCGUCGAAGGUGGGACAAAUGAUUGGGGUGAAGUCGUAACAAGGUAGCCGUAUCGGAAGG
Molecule: ribosomal RNA, 737 nt
Filed under: uncultured bacterium
Lineage: Bacteria
Description: bacterial SSU rRNA
Rfam family: Bacterial small subunit ribosomal RNA
Source: RNAcentral